This 483-nucleotide ribosomal RNA is filed under the name uncultured bacterium. RNAcentral's name for it is "bacterial SSU rRNA". It matches the Rfam family "Bacterial small subunit ribosomal RNA", at positions 29 to 487 of the family's 1533-position model. The record is from RNAcentral.
AACUAACGCUGGCGGCGUGCCUAACACAUGCAAGUCGAACGAGAAAGUUGGCUUCGGCCGAUGAGUAAAGUGGCGCACGGGUGAGUAACGCGUGGAUAAUCUGCCCUUUAGUUUGGAAUAACGUACCGAAAGGUGCGCUAAUACCGGAUAAUACUGAAUGACUACUGUCGUUUAGUCAAAGAAGGCUUCUGUUUACAUGCUUUUGCUGAAGGAUGAGUCCGCGUACCAUUAGCUAGUUGGUAGGGUAAUGGCCUACCAAGGCGACGAUGGUUAGCUGGUCUGAGAGGAUGAUCAGCCACACUGGAACUGAGACACGGUCCAGACUCCUACGGGAGGCAGCAGUGAGGAAUAUUGCGCAAUGGGGCAACCCUGACGCAGCAACGCCGCGUGAGUGAGGAAGGUUUUCGGACCGUAAAGCUCUGUCGAGCGGGAAGAAUAGCAUGGUGGCGUAAUAUCCAUCAUGCUUGACGGUACCGCUAAAGG